ACAGGAAGUAGUACACAUACAGGAAGUACUGCAGUUCCGUUCUCACCCUGCAGAGCGUCAGCGUCAUCUGUCUGCAGCGCCGACAGCGAACACGGAGUUUUCCUGACUGGAUGGAUGAGCAGCGCUUACAGUACACGAAGAAGGACGGCGGUCUGCACUGCGGCGGCGGCGGCCAGCCUGGAGGAGCUCAGGUCCAGCCGGGUCAGCCUUGUUACGCUGGCAGCCAGGUGUUCCUGCGGCUGCGGCAGGUGGAGGGAGCCUGGAGGAGGGAGCACCACGUGGACCGUGCUCUGCUCUGGGAGGUCACAGGCCUGACAGGAGGACAGCAGGUGAGGAGGACAGCAGGUGAGGAGGACAGCAGGUAAGCGCUACCUGCACAUGGGAGUGGGAGCUCACCUGGAGGGAGGCGGAGCUCUGCAGCUCCCUGCCGGCGAACAGAACCCGGAGCUCCUGGGCAGGAACUCCCUGCUGGCUCGCCACGAUCUCCUUCAGCUCCGCCACGCGGGCCGCCGCGCUCAGCUCCAUGGCAACGCCGGGGCCGCGGUUGAACCGCACAAACACUGCAGCACAGGUGAGGCUCUAACUUCACACUGAAGCAGAUUUCAUGGUUUUACUUGUGACGGCCUGUUGGGUUCAUAUAGCUCUAGUCGGUCUCAGGCAGGACCAGAACCAGAACCAGGUGAGGGCGUUCAGCCGGAUCAGAACCUGGUUCUGGUUCUGAUCCGGAUGGCUUCAGUUCAUUCUGAUGUUUCUUUGUGUUUUUAAUGUAUUUGUUGUUUGAACUUUGAUGAAUGAUUGGUUCUCUGGUAGCCCCGCCCCCUGACACACCUGGACCGGCAGGUUCUGCUUUAAGAACUACAACAGGAAGACAUUUCAAUAUUCGCUCAGCUCCACCUGCUCUGUGUUCUGAUUGGCUGGUUCCUUCCUGGAGGCGGCUGACAUGAUGCUGCCAUCACCUAAUCGCUCUCCCUCUCCUGCUGUUUCUACUUUCAUGAACAUCA
Long non-coding RNA from Xiphophorus hellerii (green swordtail), 1001 nucleotides. RefSeq lists it as uncharacterized. The record is from RefSeq and is a predicted model, not a curated record. The transcript is spliced from 3 exons. Lineage: Eukaryota; Metazoa; Chordata; Actinopteri; Cyprinodontiformes; Poeciliidae.